Molecule: transfer RNA, 71 nt
Filed under: Marmota monax (woodchuck)
Lineage: Eukaryota; Metazoa; Chordata; Mammalia; Rodentia; Sciuridae
Description: tRNA.Ala
Source: RNAcentral
GUAGUUGUAGCUCAGUGGGAGAGUGCUUACCUAGCAUGUGUGAGGCACUGGGUUCCAUCCUCAGCACCACA